Molecule: ribosomal RNA, 787 nt
Filed under: Mycobacterium sp. MAIS-35
Lineage: Bacteria; Bacillati; Actinomycetota; Actinomycetes; Mycobacteriales; Mycobacteriaceae
Description: bacterial SSU rRNA
Rfam family: Bacterial small subunit ribosomal RNA
Source: RNAcentral
UGCAAAUCGAACGGAAAGGCCCCUUCGGGGGUACUCGAGUGGCGAACGGGUGAGUAACACGUGGGUAAUCUGCCCUGCACUUCGGGAUAAGCCUGGGAAACUGGGUCUAAUACCGGAUAGGACCUCAAGACGCAUGUCUUCUGGUGGAAAGCUUUUGCGGUGUGGGAUGGGCCCGCGGCCUAUCAGCUUGUUGGUGGGGUGAUGGCCUACCAAGGCGACGACGGGUAGCCGGCCUGAGAGGGUGUCCGGCCACACUGGGACUGAGAUACGGCCCAGACUCCUACGGGAGGCAGCAGUGGGGAAUAUUGCACAAUGGGCGCAAGCCUGAUGCAGCGACGCCGCGUGGGGGAUGACGGCCUUCGGGUUGUAAACCUCUUUCAGCAGGGACGAAGCGCAAGUGACGGUACCUGCAGAAGAAGCACCGGCCAACUACGUGCCAGCAGCCGCGGUAAUACGUAGGGUGCGAGCGUUGUCCGGAAUUACUGGGCGUAAAGAGCUCGUAGGUGGUUUGUCGCGUUGUUCGUGAAAACCGGGGGCUUAACCCUCGGCGUGCGGGCGAUACGGGCAGACUAGAGUACUGCAGGGGAGACUGGAAUUCCUGGUGUAGCGGUGGAAUGCGCAGAUAUCAGGAGGAACACCGGUGGCGAAGGCGGGUCUCUGGGCAGUAACUGACGCUGAGGAGCGAAAGCGUGGGAGCGAACAGGAUUAGAUACCCUGGUAGUCCACGCCGUAAACGGUGGGUACUAGGUGUGGGUUUCCUUCCUUGGGAUCCGUGCCGUAGCUAACG